This 112-nucleotide ribosomal RNA is filed under the name Candidatus Taylorbacteria bacterium RIFCSPHIGHO2_02_FULL_47_18. The record is from RNAcentral. RNAcentral also lists the same sequence under 3 other names. Lineage: Bacteria; Candidatus Tayloriibacteriota.
GUUGGUGAUUUGACGCCGUGGAUACACCCGAUCCCAUUCCGAACUCGGCAGUUAAGCAUGGUAGUGGCGAUGGUACCCCGCGCAAGCGUGGGAGAGUAGCUAGUCGCCAACA